AUACGGAGGGUGCAAGCGUUACUCGGAAUCACUGGGCGUAAAGCGCGCGCAGGCGGUCUUUUAAGUUGGAUGUGAAAGCCUACGGCUCAACCGUAGAACUGCAUCCAAAACUAUUAGACUAGAGUGUGGGAGAGGAAGAUGGAAUUAGUUGUGUAGGGGUAAAAUCCGUAGAGAUAACUAGGAAUACCAAAAGCGAAGGCAAUCUUCUGGAACACUACUGAUGCUGAGGCGCGAAAGCGUGGGGAGCAAACAGGAUUAGAAACCCCAGUAGUCC
RNAcentral lists this ribosomal RNA (274 nucleotides) under uncultured bacterium. RNAcentral's name for it is "partial 16S ribosomal RNA". It matches the Rfam family "Bacterial small subunit ribosomal RNA", at positions 523 to 796 of the family's 1533-position model. The record is from RNAcentral.